AACGAACGCUGGCGGCAGACCUAACACAUGCAAGUCGAGCGAGGACUUCGGUUCUAGCGGCGGACGGGUGAGUAACGCGUGGGAAUGUGCCCUUCUCUACGGAAUAGCCCUGGGAAACUGGGAGUAAUACCGUAUACGCCCUAUUGGGGAAAGAUUUAUCGGAGAAGGAUCAGCCCGCGUUGGAUUAGGUAGUUGGUGGGGUAAUGGCCUACCAAGCCGACGAUCCAUAGCUGGUUUGAGAGGAUGAUCAGCCACACUGGGACUGAGACACGGCCCAGACUCCUACGGGAGGCAGCAGUGGGGAAUCUUAGACAAUGGGGGCAACCCUGAUCUAGCCAUGCCGCGUGAGUGAUGAAGGCCUUAGGGUUGUAAAGCUCUUUCAGCUGGGAAGAUAAUGACGGUACCAGCAGAAGAAGCCCCGGCUAACUCCGUG
This 433-nucleotide ribosomal RNA is filed under the name uncultured bacterium. RNAcentral's name for it is "partial 16S ribosomal RNA". It matches the Rfam family "Bacterial small subunit ribosomal RNA", at positions 29 to 507 of the family's 1533-position model. The record is from RNAcentral.